Amphiprion ocellaris (clown anemonefish) is the source of this 1180-nucleotide long non-coding RNA. RefSeq lists it as uncharacterized. The record is from RefSeq and is a predicted model, not a curated record. The transcript is spliced from 3 exons. Lineage: Eukaryota; Metazoa; Chordata; Actinopteri; Pomacentridae.
AAUAAACAAGAGCCCUAACGGUGACCAGCGAUGUGUUUUAGAAGUUAAACAAGUUGUUUAAAGUCCGAGUUUCUAUUAGUUAGAUUUGAUUAUUAAAUCUUUUUAUUUUGCCUCGCUGGAUGCGUAUAGUUGUGGACCGCAGAUGCACAGAUGUUGUUUUUAUUUUCAUUGAUCAAAACGGAGAUUCUGUGUGAGCGGGUUCAAGCUAACGGCUAGGCUAACCGCUAAAGCUAACGGCUAAGCUAACGGACGGGCUAGCGUCCUCACGGCCUGAGUGGACUUUUUAGCGGACAGACUGAGGUGUUUCUGGACCAGGAGUUACCUGCCGCCCCUCAGACCUGCGGUUCUUUUACCGGGACCUUGGAUUGUUUGUCGGCGGACCGCUGGCUUUCACACACCGGGCUGUGAACUCCGCUACGGGGAUCCUGUUGGCUGCUAACUGAGACAUUUGCUGACGGUGGAGGAGAUCAACUACUCCGUGGGCUGCUUCCUGUAAAUCACCGUGGGGUUUUCCACUCACGACCAUCUGGAGAUCAACUCACAGGCCUGCAACGUUUUGAGGUCUCCAGUGGAACGGUUCCACGACUACAGUGUCAGUGAUGUGACCUUCAACCCCCAUGGAGCUCCGCCUGCCUCCAGGAAGAAGAUAAAAAAACUCCUUGAUUCGUCUUCGGGGCUUUUUAUCGGCGCCGAGAGACAAACAGAAUGUGGAUGUUCAGCAGAAACUCCGUCUGAAUGGUUGUGAUCGUCCUCUGAGGAUGGGAGGUGUAAUCCGUCUGAAGGAGGAGGUUUAGGAGGACGUCAGGUGGCUCAGAUGGAGCUCCAGAUCUGCUGUUUGGCAGAAGAACCGAAGCGUCGGCCGUUUGGAGGUCAAGAGGUUGUUGGGCUGCUGGUUGGAACCAAACAGGAAGCACUCGAACCUCAGCGAGCAGAUUUAUCUCCAGUGCCAAGGCUUUGUCUGUUUCCAACACCAAUGACAAUAUAAACUGGAUAAAUCUGCCUUUCAUCAGGAUGAUCUGGGGCUGACGAAGAAGAAGCUUUUUCUGCUGUUAAAUCUGAAUAAACCCAGAAUAGACAGGAUUUAGUCUGUUAAAAAACGUUACAAGCAGCGAUGCCAGAAAACUUUAAAAACUGUGAAACUUACCGCAAACGUCUGUUAAAUAAAGAGAUUUAUAGCCGA